UGAAAUUCGCCUUCCAUGAAGCCGGAAUUGCUAGUAAUGGCAGGUCAGCAUACUGCCGUGAAUACGUUCCCGGGCCUUGUACACACCGCCCGUCACACCAUGAGAGUUGGGAAUACCCGAAGCCUGUGAGCUAACGUAAGAGGCAGCAGUCGAAGGUAGAAUCAAUGAUUGGGGUGAAGUCGUAACAAGGUAGC
RNAcentral lists this ribosomal RNA (194 nucleotides) under uncultured bacterium. Its description in RNAcentral is "partial 16S ribosomal RNA". It matches the Rfam family "Bacterial small subunit ribosomal RNA", at positions 1306 to 1500 of the family's 1533-position model. The record is from RNAcentral.